Molecule: ribosomal RNA, 76 nt
Filed under: Candidatus Nitrotoga sp.
Lineage: Bacteria; Pseudomonadati; Pseudomonadota; Betaproteobacteria; Nitrosomonadales; Gallionellaceae
Description: partial 23S ribosomal RNA
Source: RNAcentral
GGUCAGGUGUGGAAGCGCAGUAAUGCGUUAAGCUAACUGAUACUAAUUGCCCGUGAGGCUUGACCCUAUAACAUUA